Molecule: ribosomal RNA, 253 nt
Filed under: uncultured bacterium
Lineage: Bacteria
Description: partial 16S ribosomal RNA
Rfam family: Bacterial small subunit ribosomal RNA
Source: RNAcentral
UACGGGGGGAGCAAGCGUUGUUCGGAUUUACUGGGCGUAAAGGGCGCGUAGGCGGCGCAACAAGUCACUUGUGAAAUCUCCGGGCUUAACCCGGAGCGGCCAAGUGAUACUGUCGUGCUAGAGUGCGGAAGGGGCAACUGGAAUUCUCGGUGUAGCGGUGAAAUGCGUAGAUAUCGAGAGGAACACCUGUGGCGAAGGCGGGUUGCUGGGCCGACACUGACGCUGAGGCGCGAAAGCUAGGGGAGCGAACGGG